RNAcentral lists this ribosomal RNA (232 nucleotides) under uncultured Lactobacillus sp. Its description in RNAcentral is "partial 16S ribosomal RNA". It matches the Rfam family "Bacterial small subunit ribosomal RNA", at positions 132 to 354 of the family's 1533-position model. Lineage: Bacteria; Bacillati; Bacillota; Bacilli; Lactobacillales; Lactobacillaceae. The record is from RNAcentral.
ACUAGUCUGGGAUACCACUUGGAAACAGGUGCUAAUACCGGAUAAGAAAGCGGAUCGCAUGAUCAGCUUUUAAAAGGCGGCGUAAGCUGUCGCUAUGGGAUGGCCCCCGCGGUGCAUUAGCUAGUUGGUAAGGUAAAGGCUUACCAAGGCGAUGAUGCAUAGCCGAGUUGAGAGACUGAUCGGCCACAUUGGGACUGAGACACGGCCCAAACUCCUACGGGAGGCAGCAGAA